CAGAACUCAAUGACUAAAAGUGACAUGCAGAGAUGGUCCCAGUCAUGUGCCAUUCAUCAGGAGACAUGGAUGCUGUGCUGGGUGCUUGCGGCUGUCUAAUGAUGACGUCUGCCUGUUUCCUCAAGCUAGAGUGAAGGGGACCGUGCAGAAGAAAUCAGAAGCACUGAAGGACAGAUCAGGAAGCUGACCAAAGAUGGGCUGAUCAUCCAGAAGCCUGUGACUGUCCAUUCCCGGUCUUGCUGCCAGAAUACCAUCUUAGCCCGACGGAAGGGCAGGCAUAUAUGGGCAUAGGGAAGAGAAAGGGUACUGCCAAUGCUUGGAUGCCUGAGAAGGUGACCUGGAUGAGAAAGAUGAGGAUACUGCGCCGGCUUCUCACGAGAUACGGGGAAUCUAAGAAGAUUGGCCACCAUAUGUAUCACAGCCAAAGUCCAAGAUAUAUUUUCAUCAUUCCAAGUACCAACUCUACACUUCUUCUAUCUAAAAUCAAGAAAGGAUGA
RNAcentral lists this long non-coding RNA (497 nucleotides) under Mus spicilegus (steppe mouse). RNAcentral describes it as "lncRNA (ENSMSIG00000025565.1)". The record is from RNAcentral. Lineage: Eukaryota; Metazoa; Chordata; Mammalia; Rodentia; Muridae.